This 399-nucleotide ribosomal RNA is filed under the name uncultured bacterium. Its description in RNAcentral is "bacterial SSU rRNA". It matches the Rfam family "Bacterial small subunit ribosomal RNA", at positions 362 to 776 of the family's 1533-position model. The record is from RNAcentral.
UAUUGGGCAAUGGGCGCAAGCCUGACCCAGCAACGCCGCGUGAAGGAAGAAGGCUUUCGGGUUGUAAACGUCUUUUAAGGGGGACGAACAAAUGACGGUACCACUUGAAUAAGCCACGGCUAACUACGUGCCAGCAGCCGCGGUAAUACGUAGGUGGCCAGCGUUAUCCGGGUUUAUUGGGUGUAAAGGGCGUGUAGGCGGGAAUGCAAGUCAGAUGUGAAAACUAUGGGCUCAACCCAUAGCCUGCAUUUGAAACUGUAUUUCUUGAGUGCUGGAGAGGCAAUCGGAAUUCCGUGUGUAGCGGUGAAAUGCGUAGAUAUACGGAGGAACACCAGUGGCGAAGGCGGAUUGCUGGACAGUAACCGACGCUGAGGCGCGAAAGCGUGGGGAGCAAACAGG